This 253-nucleotide ribosomal RNA is filed under the name uncultured bacterium. RNAcentral describes it as "partial 16S ribosomal RNA". It matches the Rfam family "Bacterial small subunit ribosomal RNA", at positions 524 to 776 of the family's 1533-position model. The record is from RNAcentral.
UACGGAGGGUGCAAGCGUUAUCCGGAUUCACUGGGUUUAAAGGGUGCGUAGGUGGGCAUGUAAGUCAGUGGUGAAAUCUCCGUGCUUAACACGGAAACUGCCAUUGAUACUAUGUUUCUUGAAUUAUCUGGAGGUCAGCGGAAUAUGUCAUGUAGCGGUGAAAUGCUUAGAUAUGACAUAGAACACCAAUUGCGAAGGCAGCUGGCUACAGGUGGAUUGACACUGAGGCACGAAAGCGCGGGGAUCAAACAGG